GGCCUGCACAGUGCGGGGGGGCGGGGGAGGUGGCCGCCCAGGGUCCCGGAGUUAGACAUGGCGGAACUGGGGUGCCGACCCGCUGGGAAUGACUCCCAAGCGUGUGUUUUGUGUUUUCCUUCCGUGCCCACCCAGCUCUGCGGGGCUGGAUGCCAGGCUCUGGGCGCUGGAGCCCUGGGGGGGGUGGCGUGGGGGGGCAGCCCUGCUCUGCCAAGGAGCUCCCCAGGGAGCCUUUGCCUGUUAGACUCAAGUUCGCAGGGUGCAGGGAACAGUGAUGGGAACAGAAGAGCUGAGCAGACCCCGGCCCGGCUGGGGGCUGAGACUAAGAACUCCUCCCAGGCCGAUUGUGCCCUGUUGGCUGGGGUGGGUGGAGUUAUUAGGUCGUCUUCCCCAUCCUGGGAGGAGAGGCCCUUAAUACACCCAUUUGACAGAGAGAAAAAUAAAGCUUUUCUGUGCCGCCUGUGUGAGAAGUAGGUCCCGCCGCAGGAUCAGGAGAUCCUGGUAAGAGCAGCUUAACCAAGAGGCUUUACUCUUUUGUGCAUCGAGGGAGACCAGAGCCGGGCCGCCCAGGUCCACGGAAAGCUUCCGGCCCCUCCGGCCCCGGGGCUCCGCCGUUCCCGGGGUCCGGGAUGCCACUGCUGUGGCAGGGCCGCUGGGGGUUGGCCCGCGUGCUUCUGCGUCCAUCCGAACUGUCGGGACCCAUAGCUCUUAGCUUCGAGGAGGUGGGGGGCGGGGGCAGCGAGGCACGGUUUGUGCAGCCGAUGCGUUGUUUCGGCCGGAGACCGGGGGCUUAUCGAUGCCGGUCAGGGUUUGAACCCAGAACAGCCCAGCCUCUUAGCCAGCCACUCGGUGGUCCUGCGGGGGUGCACGGAGGGGGGCACGGUGCAGUCGGGAAGUCAUGUGGCACGUGGGCGCCGGCCGGGGGUCCUGGUGUUGCGGGAAGGUCUGCCUUUGUUUUUCUUGGGGUAGGACGGCCAGGGGCAGUGUCCUUCCCUGGACGUGCUGCUCGGAGCCCUGGAGACCCUGCCUGGGGACUAAGAGCUUGCCGGCCCCCCCUCCUUCCAGCCCCCUGGUGUGCGCCCCAUUCCCACACGGCCCCUCCUAACACCUCUGGGCGUCCUGCUGCACAGGCUGGAAACCCCACCCCACCCGGCCCCUGUCCCCUCCUUGUGCUCCGACACGUCGCACACGUGGAAAACAUUCCUGCCCUGACAGGUGGCCUCUCUGGAGCCUCCUGUCCCCUGAGCAGAUCGAUGGCUCCAUGCUGCCUUCCUGGCAGGGCUGUCCCCCAGAUGAACCCGCCGAGACCUCGCUCUCGGGGCGGCGGGGGCGACGGGCGCAAACCCAGAGGGGCCUGGCUGCGGGCUGGCGCACGUCCCCCCACCAAGUCCAGGGGCUGGGGGCAAAGGUCAGCAGGCGGCCUGGGGCUGGCCUUGAACUUCCUUCCAGCUGCUGGGGCACAGUGCUGGCUGGGGGGUGGGGGGGCGGGGGGAGGGCUCUCACUCUCAUCCGCUUUGGAUUCUUACCUGCUUGCGACACCACAUUUCACUCUUCAGUCGCUCCCAGGGUCGCAGCCUCCUGGGCUCAAGGUCCACACCCUUCCCCUUUCACAGGCAGACGUGAAUGCUUAGUGAGGUCAGGUGCAUCGCCCAAGGUCUUUCACCUAGAGCUUGCGAAGGCCCCACGUGUCCUCAGGCUAAGUGCAGAAGGUCUGAGGAGCCUGGGCUCCCCUGGGGCGCUGGAAGGAUCUGUGGCGUCCUAGUGCUCAGAGGUUCUAGGUGGUUCUGGGUUGGGUAGAGGGCUCCUGAGAAAGAUCCAGGAAGGGCCAGGACAGCCCAUCUAUCUGCUCGACGAACCAUCCUGCUCCCGGGGGCCACGCGCCAUGAGGUGGAAAGGUGGCACCUGUCACCCACCUGGCAGCGGGCACCCACCAGGCCACCUGGGCUCCACCUGGGGAGGUGGGGUCACGGAGUUGGGGGCUAGGGAUGGAGAACAGCCCCCAGAGCUGUGCGGCCGAGUCCCCGGGGCCAGCACCGGGGACACCCGGCUCCCAAGAGGGCGGCCCCGCCACGCUCUGCGGCUGCCGGAAGGGUCCAGUGGGGCUGGGCUCAGGACAGUGGCGGCUGCUUUGGGCUGGCCGAGUGGGGACAGCGUCACUUCUGCCUGGGUGGUGUCUCCAGAGCCUCAGGGAAGGGAGGGAGGCCUCACAGCAGCUUCUGGAAUUCGGUCUUGCAAUCCCGAGUCUUCACCCCCACCUCCGCUUGCCCUCUGCCUGGCGUCUUCUGCUUGUUUUCCGAAAACCGGGUUAAGAGUGGGUCCCGGCCCACCUGGCGUCCCUGCGGUGUGACCUUGGGCAGGCGGCUUCAGUGCUGAGCCUGGACUCCCUCCUCCGUGGGGUGGAUGUCCCGGGCGUGCCCACCUCGCGGGGCUACUGUCUGAGCCCAACGUGAGGGUUCCGUGCGAGGCGUGGGGGAGGGGCGUGCCCACCCGCCACGGCUCUCCGGGGGUGGGGGUGGGGGAGCCCCGCUUUCUGUCCCUGGAGGCGCGCGGGGGGCACCGGAAGCGUCCUCGCUUUGCUUCCUUCACGUUGAGAAACUCUUAAAACGUUCACCUCGCUCACGCUUUUACGGAAGACCUUGCAGCGACGUGACGUCAGGAGAGGGAGAGGUGGGGGCGCGCCGCCUCCAGAGACUAUGCAGUGUCCCCGGGGACGCACCGGUGCCUCCUCCAAUCCCAGCAUGCACCUUGCUUCGGCAGCCUGCCCGGGUCACAGCAGCUGCCGAGUGUCGUGGUGUGUGUGUGUGUGUGUGUGCGCGCGUGUGUGCGCGCGCGCGCGCGCGCGCCCAGCACGCUGCCUGAGGUCCGCACACGGUAUUCCCCGCAGUUCUGGAAAAACCAGUCCGCACCCAAUGCCUUCCAGUAGAUACAAAGAGAAAUCCUGACAGAAAGGGGAGAGAAGUCCUGGAGACAGGCAGACGCACCGGGGACGGCCACAUCUCAGUGGGGGUGUGUCGGUGCUACCGAGCUGGACGUUUAAGAACGACUAAGCAUCAUCAGUUGGUUUGUCCGGACCUUCAAGUACGUAUUCGGCCUUCGCUUUGACAUAAAGGGCCGCCAGAAGC
This is an RNA transcript of Lynx canadensis (Canada lynx), 3122 nucleotides long. It is a transcript of the gene named 1-acylglycerol-3-phosphate O-acyltransferase 2, with no coding region annotated. The transcript is spliced from 2 exons. NCBI's taxonomy places the organism in Eukaryota, Metazoa, Chordata, Mammalia, Carnivora, Felidae. The record is from RefSeq and is a predicted model, not a curated record.